GACGAACGCUGGCGGCGUGCUUAACACAUGCAAGUCGAACGGAAAGGCCCUGCUUUUGUGGGGUGCUCGAGUGGCGAACGGGUGAGUAACACGUGAGUAACCUGCCCUUGACUUUGGGAUAACUUCAGGAAACUGGGGCUAAUACCGGAUAGGAGCUCCUGCUGCAUGGUGGGGGUUGGAAAGUUUCGGCGGUUGGGGCUGGACUCGCGGGUUAUCAGCUUGUUGGUGGGGUAGUGGCUUACCAAGGCUUUGACGGGUAGCCGGCCUGAGAGGGUGACCGGCCACAUUGGGACUGAGAUACGGCCCAGACUCCUACGGGAGGCAGCAGUGGGGAAUAUUGCACAAUGGGCGGAAGCCUGAUGCAGCAACGCCGCGUGCGGGAUGACGGCCUUCGGGUUGUAAACCGCUUUCGCCUGUGACGAAGCGUGAGUGACGGUAAUGGGUAAAGAAGCACCGGCUAACUACGUG
This 468-nucleotide ribosomal RNA is filed under the name uncultured bacterium. Its description in RNAcentral is "partial 16S ribosomal RNA". It matches the Rfam family "Bacterial small subunit ribosomal RNA", at positions 28 to 507 of the family's 1533-position model. The record is from RNAcentral.